RNAcentral lists this ribosomal RNA (439 nucleotides) under Blastocystis sp. RNAcentral describes it as "SSU rRNA". It matches the Rfam family "Eukaryotic small subunit ribosomal RNA", at positions 477 to 933 of the family's 1831-position model. Lineage: Eukaryota; Bigyra; Opalinata; Blastocystidae. The record is from RNAcentral.
ACAAUGCGGAACUUUUAGUUUUGCAAUUGGAUUGAGAACAAUGUACAAAUGUUAUCGAUAAACAAUUGGAGGGCAAGUCUGGUGCCAGCAGCCGGGUAAUUCCAGCUCCAAUAGCGUAUAUUAACGUUGUUGCAGUUAAAAAGCUCGUAGUUGAAAUGUGGGAUGAAGUAUAUAAUGAAUUUCUAAUUCAAUUGUAUAUUGAUUCCCCUCUCCAAUUUAUUAUUAUGGGGAUUAAUUUAUUUGGAAUAAGAAUUGGUCAUUUACUGUGAGAAAAUUAGAGUGUUCAAAGCAGGCAUUUGCUUGAAUAGAUUAGCAUGGAAUAAUACUAAAAGGCUUUUAUGGUCGAUUUAAUUGGUUUGUUCAUAAAAGCAAGAUUAAAAGGAACAGUUGGGGGUAUUCAUAUUCAAUAGUUAGAGGUGAAAUUCUCGGAUUUAUGGAA